GACGAACGCUGGCGGCGUGCUUAACACAUGCAAGUCGAACGGAAAGGCCCUGCUUUUGUGGGGUGCUCGAGUGGCGAACGGGUGAGUAACACGUGAGUAACCUGCUCUUGACUUUGGGAUAACUUCAGGAAACUGGGGCUAAUACCGGAUAGGAGCUCCUGCUGCAUGGUGGGGGUUGGAAAGUUUCGGCGGUUGGGGAUGGACUCGCGGCUUACCAGCUUGCUGGUGGGGUAGUGGCUUACCAAGGCUUUGACGGGUAGCCGGCCUGAGAGGGUGACCGGCCACAUUGGGACUGAGAUACGGCGCAGACUCGUACGGGAGGCAGCGGGGGGGAGUAUUGCACAAUGGGCGGAAGCGUGAUGCAGCAACGCCGCGUGCGGGAUGACGGCCUUCGGGUUGUAAACCGCUUUCGCCUGUGACGAAGCGUGAGUGACGGUAAUGGGUAAAGAAGCACCGGCUAACUACGUG
RNAcentral lists this ribosomal RNA (468 nucleotides) under uncultured bacterium. RNAcentral describes it as "partial 16S ribosomal RNA". It matches the Rfam family "Bacterial small subunit ribosomal RNA", at positions 28 to 507 of the family's 1533-position model. The record is from RNAcentral.